UGGGGAAUAUUGGACAAUGGGCGAAAGCCUGAUCCAGCAAUGCCGCGUGAGUGAUGAAGGCCCUAGGGUUGUAAAGCUCUUUUACCCGGGAUGAUAAUGACAGUACCGGGAGAAUAAGCUCCGGCUAACUCCGUGACAGCAGCCGCGGUAAUACGGAGGGAGCUAGCGUUGUUCGGAAUUACUGGGCGUAAAGCGCGCGUAGGCGGCUUUGUAAGUCAGAGGUGAAAGCCCGGGGCUCAACCCCGGAAUUGCCUUUGAAACUGGAAAGCUAGAAGCUUGGAGAGGUCAGUGGAAUUCCGAGUGUAGAGGUGAAAUUCGUAGAUAUUCGGAAGAACACCAGUGGCGAAGGCGACUGACUGGACAAGUAUUGACGCUGAGGUGCGAAAGCGUGGGGAGCAAACAG
RNAcentral lists this ribosomal RNA (403 nucleotides) under uncultured bacterium. RNAcentral's name for it is "bacterial SSU rRNA". It matches the Rfam family "Bacterial small subunit ribosomal RNA", at positions 355 to 775 of the family's 1533-position model. The record is from RNAcentral.